This 210-nucleotide long non-coding RNA is filed under the name Lathyrus oleraceus (garden pea). RNAcentral describes it as "Pisum sativum (pea) long non-coding RNA (PSAT_LNC016074)". Lineage: Eukaryota; Viridiplantae; Streptophyta; Magnoliopsida; Fabales; Fabaceae. The record is from RNAcentral.
UUGAACCUGCUCUGAAGAUUCUUUGUUCAAUCCUAUUCAGGUCUUAUAUGAACCUGUCAUUGAACCUUUUUAUUCCGGGGUCGGGUCAUCCUUGAACCUGCUCUGAAGAUUCUUUGUUCAAUCCUAUUCAGGUCUUAUAUGAACCUGUCAUUGAACCUUUUUAUUCCGGGGUCCGGUCAUGCUUGAACCUACUCUGAAGAUUCUUUGUUC